Molecule: RNA transcript, 1836 nt
Organism: Oreochromis niloticus (Nile tilapia)
Lineage: Eukaryota; Metazoa; Chordata; Actinopteri; Cichliformes; Cichlidae
Gene: adat1
Gene name: adenosine deaminase tRNA specific 1
Exons: 9
Source: RefSeq, a predicted model, not a curated record
GCCCGGAAGUAAUUUCUUCUCCUUCUCGUUCGCCGGAAGUGCACAGGAGUUGGUCGUAGUUCUAAAUAAAAAUGCUACCUUUGUAGUGUUCGGGUGACACCGGGACAUUAACGGUGAAUGUAUUCAUAUCUGAAAUGCCUACUAGUGCUCACACCCGCCUUCCCGGUCGCUUUAAUGUGGUGAGCGCGGAUGAAGUCGCCAAGUUGUGCUACGAGCGUUUCAGUCAGCUUCCCCGCAGAGGGAAGCCUGAGCCGGGCAGAGAGUGGACCCUGCUGGCCGCUGUGCUCCAGAUCACCCGCGGAGCUGACUCUCACUCAGUUGCCAUGGAGGUUGUUUCCCUGGGAACUGGGACCAAAUGUAUUGGACAGACCGCCAUGAGUCCCACAGGUGAUGUACUUAACGACAGCCAUGCAGAGGUCAUUGCCAGGAGGGGAUGUAUCAGGUACCUGAUCCAGGAGCUGCACGGGGCUGUGAGCGGUCGGGGCAGCUCUGUGUUUUGUGCAGCAGAUGAGCGAGGAAAGUGGAAGCUUCGGCCUGGAGUGUCCUUUCUCCUGUUUACCAGUCACACUCCCUGUGGCGACGCCUCCAUCAUCCCCAUGACUGACAGCCAGCCUCAGCCCUGCCCUCCUGUCACAUCGGUAAAGGGCCAUGAACAGACUGAUGGAGGAGGAGACCUGAAAAGGAAAGCAGAGGAAUCCGGCGAGGUGCAAAACUCUAAGCAGCCUCGUCUGGAGGAGACAGCAGAGAUGAAGGAGGAGGACAGAGGAGACACAGAACAGUGUGGAUCACUAAACUUUAACAAAACAUCGGAAACACCCUCACAAACCAGCAGCUCUGCAGACUUGGCUCAAACUGAUGGUGCUGGGCUGCAUCAUCAGGUCUCAGACAUUCACAGAACAGGGGCCAAGUGUGUACUGGGUGGCCCAGCUGACCCUCUGCAGCCUGGGGUGCGGUAUCACAGUCCGGGCGUGCUCCGGGUGAAGCCCGGCAGAGGAGAGCCAACUCUCUCCCUCUCCUGCAGCGACAAGAUGGCCCGCUGGGGGGUGCUGGGCUUCCAGGGUGCACUGCUGUCCCAUUACCUACAGGAGGCUCUGUACUUCAGCACCGUGGUGGUGGGGAAGUGUCCAUAUGACCAAGAAGUCAUGCAGAGAGCUUUGGUCACAAGGUGCGCCUGUGUAUCGGACCUCCCUGCCGGUUUCUCCGUACGUCCACCCGAGCUGCUCCAGGCCACGUUGGAGUUUCCUUUCAGCCAGGCUCAAACAGAGCUCCAGCACCAGGCCGGCCAGGGCCGCAUCUCCCCCUGCGGGGCAGCCAUCAGCUGGUGUAACAUAACAGAGCAGCCACUAGAUGUCACCGCUAACGGCUACAAACACGGAGUCACCAAGAAGGCCCUGGGAACAGCAAAAGCCAGGUAGAACCAAUCCAGUGUCGUCAUACACGAGUGCCAUGUCUCUUCUGUGCAAAUUGGAGCUUUUUCAUUCCUUCUUGUCUUUGGUGUCGGCCACCGAUCCCUCGGCUCUCCCCAACUCUCUCAGGAAAGCAGAGCUGCAAACCUACUGGGACUACAAGCAGGCCUCCCAGUCGUACCAGCAGGCCUGGCAGCAGCUGCGCAGUCAGGCAUUCCCUCUGUGGCCGCGCAGUGACAGAAACCUCCUCCUCUUCCACUGAAAACUCCCUCUUGACAGGCUCGAUGACAAAGCGGCAUUGUUGUAGGAGAAACUGAGAGGUCAAAGGUCGCCCAAGGUUUGAAUUUGUGAAACUCAGUUUUCAAACACGCUGCCGAGAACAAAGGAUCGCAGCACCCUUUUAAUAAAAGGACAAGCUUGGCUUCUUUAA